This 459-nucleotide ribosomal RNA is filed under the name uncultured bacterium. Its description in RNAcentral is "partial 16S ribosomal RNA". It matches the Rfam family "Bacterial small subunit ribosomal RNA", at positions 338 to 795 of the family's 1533-position model. The record is from RNAcentral.
CCUACGGGAGGCAGCAGUGAGGAAUAUUGGUCAAUGGGCGCGAGCCUGAACCAGCCAAGUCGCGUGCGGGAAGACGGUCCUAUGGAUUGUAAACCUCUUUUGUCGGGGAGCAAAAGACGCCACGCGUGGCGUUCCGAGAGUACCCGAAGAAAAAGCAUCGGCUAACUCCGUGCCAGCAGCCGCGGUAAUACGGAGGAUGCGAGCGUUAUCCGGAUUUAUUGGGUUUAAGGGGUGCGCAGGGGGAAGAUAAAGUCAGCGGGAAAAUUGAGAGGCUCAACCUCUUCGAGCCGUUGAAACUGGUUUUCUUGAGUGAGUGAGAGGUAUGCGGAAUGCGUGGUGUAGCGGUGAAAUGCAUAGAUAUCACGCAGAACUCCGAUUGCGAAGGCAGCAUACCGGCGCUCAACUGACGCUCAUGCACGAAAGUGUGGGUAUCGAACAGGAUUAGAUACCCCUGUAGUC